Long non-coding RNA from Pristis pectinata (smalltooth sawfish), 321 nucleotides. RefSeq lists it as uncharacterized. The record is from RefSeq and is a predicted model, not a curated record. The transcript is spliced from 3 exons. NCBI's taxonomy places the organism in Eukaryota, Metazoa, Chordata, Chondrichthyes, Rhinopristiformes, Pristidae.
CAGAAAGGGAAGUAUGAAGGAGAAAUUCAAGUGAACAGAUGCAGUGAACAGCAAAACACAACUGAUAAAAAUAGAAAUUCAGCAAUAUUUACUGUGAGGACUGCCCUCUCAUGGAGUUCGGGGGAUGAGACAAUGAAGGUUUAGACGAGAACAUCCUGGUUCACUGCGUCAGGUUGACAACGUUGCUGUGAAGCUGUCCAGAACAGCCACAGGAAGACAUAGUCAUUGUUGGUGCCCACAAGUCCUGGUUCCCUCCUGUUUUAAGAAGACCACUAUCAUCCCAGUACCAAAGAAAAGCAAGGUAACAUGCCUCAAUGACUA